CAGUCGCCGCGGUAAGACAGAGGAUGCAAGCGUUAUCCGGAAUGAUUGGGCGUAAAGCGUCUGUAGGUGGCUUUUCAAGUCCGCCGUCAAAUCCCAGGGCUCAACCUGGGAAUGGCGCUUGUGACUGCAAAGCUAGAGUGCGGCAGAGGGGGAUGGAAUUCCGCGUGUAGCAGUGAAAUGCGUAGAUAUGCGGAGGAACACCGACGGCGAAGGCAAUCCCCUGGGCCUGCACUGACGCUCAUGCACGAAAGCGUGGGGAGCAAACAGGAUUAGAGACCCCGGUAGUCCCUGUCUCUUAUAC
RNAcentral lists this ribosomal RNA (301 nucleotides) under uncultured bacterium. RNAcentral describes it as "partial 16S ribosomal RNA". It matches the Rfam family "Bacterial small subunit ribosomal RNA", at positions 509 to 807 of the family's 1533-position model. The record is from RNAcentral.